RNAcentral lists this ribosomal RNA (255 nucleotides) under uncultured bacterium. RNAcentral describes it as "partial 16S ribosomal RNA". It matches the Rfam family "Bacterial small subunit ribosomal RNA", at positions 524 to 776 of the family's 1533-position model. The record is from RNAcentral.
UACGUAGGGUGCGAGCGUUAAUCGGAAUUACUGGGCGUAAAGCGUGCGCAGGCGGUUUUGUAAGCCAGAUGUGAAAGCCCCGGGCUCAACCUGGGAAUUGCGAUGAAGACUGCAAGGCUUGAAUCUGGCAGAGGGGGGGUAGAAUUCCACGUGUAGCAGUGAAAAUGCGUAGAGAUGUGGAGGAACACCGAUGGCGAAGGCAGCCCCCUGGGUCAAGAUUGACGCUCAUGCACGAAAGCGUGGGGAGCAAACAGG